ACGAACGCUGGCGGCGUGCCUAAUACAUGCAAGUAGAACGCUGAAGGAAGGAGCUUGCUCUUUCUGGAUGAGUUGCGAACGGGUGAGUAACGCGUAGGUAACCUGCCUGGUAGCGGGGGAUAACUAUUGGAAACGAUAGCUAAUACCGCAUAAAAUUGAUUAUUGCAUGAUAGUCAAUUAAAAGGUGCAACUGCACCACUACCAGAUGGACCUGCGUUGUAUUAGCUAGUUGGUGGGGUAACGGCUCACCAAGGCGACGAUACAUAGCCGACCUGAGAGGGCGAUCGGCCACACUGGGACUGAGACACGGCCCAGACUCCUACGGGAGGCAGCAGUAGGGAAUCUUCGGCAAUAGACGGAAGUCUGACCGAGCAACGCCGCGUGAGUGAAGAAGGUUUUCGGAUCGUAAAGCUCUGUUGUAAGAGAAGAACGAGUGUGAGAGUGGAAAGUUCACACUGUGACGGUAUCUUACCAGAAAGGGACGGCUAACUACGUG
This 496-nucleotide ribosomal RNA is filed under the name uncultured bacterium. Its description in RNAcentral is "partial 16S ribosomal RNA". It matches the Rfam family "Bacterial small subunit ribosomal RNA", at positions 29 to 507 of the family's 1533-position model. The record is from RNAcentral.